RNAcentral lists this ribosomal RNA (562 nucleotides) under Phaeotremella sp. RNAcentral describes it as "partial large subunit ribosomal RNA". It matches the Rfam family "Eukaryotic large subunit ribosomal RNA", at positions 57 to 635 of the family's 3401-position model. The record is from RNAcentral. Lineage: Eukaryota; Fungi; Basidiomycota; Tremellomycetes; Tremellales; Phaeotremellaceae.
AAAAGAAACUAACAAGGAUUCCCCUAGUAACGGCGAGUGAACCGGGAAGAGCUCAAAUUUGUAAUCUGGCCCUAACGGGUCCGAGUUGUAAUCUAUAGAGGCGUUUUCCGCCCCGGACCGUGUCCAAGUCCCUUGGAAUAGGGUAUCAAAGAGGGUGACAAUCCCGUACUUGACACGACGACCGGUGCUAUGUGAUACGUCUUCGACGAGUCGAGUUGUUUGGGAAUGCAGCUCAAAAUGGGUGGUAAAUUCCAUCUAAAGCUAAAUAUUGGCGAGAGACCGAUAGCGAACAAGUACCGUGAGGGAAAGAUGAAAAGCACUUUGGAAAGAGAGUUAAACAGUACGUGAAAUUGUUAAAAGGGAAACGAUUGAAGUCAGUCGUGUCGGUUGGAUUCAGCCCGGUCUCCGGGUGUAUUUCCUUCCGACGGGUCAACAUCAGUUUGGAUCGGCGGAUAAAGAUGGAGGGAACGUGGCUCUCUCGGGAGUGUUAUAGCCCUCUGUUGCAUACGCCGGUCCGGACUGAGGCAUGCAGCUCGCCUUUAUGGCCGGGGUUCGCCCACGU